GUCUUUUUGAUUAUAAUUUAAAGUCUGGCCUGCCCAAUGAGUAAUUGAAUGGCCGCAGUAUUUUGACUGUGCAAAGGUAGCAUAAUCAUUAGUUUCUUAAUUAGAAACUGGAAUGAAAGGUUGAACGAGAAAAUAACUGUCUCAUUAUAAUUUAUUUAGAAUUUUAUUUUUAAGUUAAAAAGCUUAAAUUAGUUUAAAAGACGAGAAGACCCUAUAGAGUUUUAUAUUUACUGGAUUAGUUUUAUUUAUUGAAUUUUAUUUAUGCUAUUUUAUUAAAUAUUUGGUUGGGGUGAUUAAAAAAUUUAUUUAACUUUUUUUAAAUUUAUACAUUAAUUUAUGAAUUUAUGAUCCAAUAUUUUUGAUUAUAAGAUUAAAUUACCUUAGGGAUAACAGCGUAAUUUUUUUUAAGAGUUCUUAUCGAUAAAAAAGUUUGCGACCUCGAUGUUGGAUUAAAAUUUAAUUUUGGUGUAGAAGCUAGAAUAAUAGGUCUGUUCGACCUUUAAAAUUUUACA
RNAcentral lists this ribosomal RNA (512 nucleotides) under Myrmecosticta exceptionalis. RNAcentral describes it as "partial 16S ribosomal RNA". The stretch from base 386 to 512 matches the Rfam family "Bacterial large subunit ribosomal RNA", at positions 2473 to 2600 of the family's 2925-position model. The record is from RNAcentral. Lineage: Eukaryota; Metazoa; Arthropoda; Insecta; Coleoptera; Staphylinidae.